This 460-nucleotide ribosomal RNA is filed under the name Flavobacterium granuli. RNAcentral's name for it is "bacterial SSU rRNA". It matches the Rfam family "Bacterial small subunit ribosomal RNA", at positions 338 to 795 of the family's 1533-position model. Lineage: Bacteria; Pseudomonadati; Bacteroidota; Flavobacteriia; Flavobacteriales; Flavobacteriaceae. The record is from RNAcentral. RNAcentral also lists the same sequence under 1 other name.
CCUACGGGAGGCAGCAGUGAGGAAUAUUGGACAAUGGGCGCAAGCCUGAUCCAGCCAUGCCGCGUGCAGGAUGACGGUCCUAUGGAUUGUAAACUGCUUUUGUACAGGAAGAAACACUGGUUCGUGAACCAGCUUGACGGUACUGUAAGAAUAAGGAUCGGCUAACUCCGUGCCAGCAGCCGCGGUAAUACGGAGGAUCCAAGCGUUAUCCGGAAUCAUUGGGUUUAAAGGGUCCGUAGGCGGUUUAGUAAGUCAGUGGUGAAAGCCCAUCGCUCAACGGUGGAACGGCCAUUGAUACUGCUAAACUUGAAUUAUUAGGAAGUAACUAGAAUAUGUAGUGUAGCGGUGAAAUGCUUAGAGAUUACAUGGAAUACCAAUUGCGAAGGCAGGUUACUACUAAUGGAUUGACGCUGAUGGACGAAAGCGUGGGUAGCGAACAGGAUUAGAUACCCUUGUAGUC